UACGGAGGGAGCUAGCGUUGUUCGGAAUUACUGGGCGUAAAGCGCACGUAGGCGGCUUUGUAAGUUAGAGGUGAAAGCCCGGGGCUCAACCCCGGAAUUGCCUUUAAGACUGCAUCGCUUGAAUCCGGGAGAGGUGAGUGGAAUUCCGAGUGUUGAGGUGAAAUUCGUAGAUAUUCGGAGGAACACCAGUGGCGAAGGCGGCUCACUGGCUCGGUACUGACGCUGAGGUGCGAAAGCGUGGGGAGCAAACAGG
RNAcentral lists this ribosomal RNA (253 nucleotides) under uncultured bacterium. Its description in RNAcentral is "partial 16S ribosomal RNA". It matches the Rfam family "Bacterial small subunit ribosomal RNA", at positions 524 to 776 of the family's 1533-position model. The record is from RNAcentral.